This 471-nucleotide ribosomal RNA is filed under the name uncultured bacterium. RNAcentral describes it as "bacterial SSU rRNA". It matches the Rfam family "Bacterial small subunit ribosomal RNA", at positions 917 to 1382 of the family's 1533-position model. The record is from RNAcentral.
GGACCCGCACAAGCGGUGGAGCAUGUGGUUUAAUUCGACGCAACGCGAAGAACCUUACCAGGGCUUGACAUCCCUUGACAGCCAUGGAAACAUGGAAUUCGGUCCUUCGGGACCGACAAGGAGACAGGUGGUGCAUGGUUGUCGUCAGCUCGUGUCGUGAGAUGUUGGGUUAAGUCCCGCAACGAGCGCAACCCCUAUUUUCAGUUGCCAGCACGUAACGGUGGGAACUCUGAAGAAACUGCCGGUGACAAACCGGAGGAAGGUGGGGACGACGUCAAAUCAUCAUGCCCUUUAUGUCCUGGGCUACACACGUGCUACAAUGGCCGGUACAGAGGGUGGCGAAGCCGUAAGGCGGAGCGAAUCCCCAAAGCCGGUCUCAGUUCGGAUUGCAGGCUGCAACCCGCCUGCAUGAAGUCGGAAUCGCUAGUAAUCGCGAGUCAGCAUAUCGCGGUGAAUACGUUCCCGGGUCUU